RNAcentral lists this ribosomal RNA (714 nucleotides) under uncultured bacterium. RNAcentral describes it as "bacterial SSU rRNA". It matches the Rfam family "Bacterial small subunit ribosomal RNA", at positions 777 to 1500 of the family's 1533-position model. The record is from RNAcentral.
AUUAGAUACCCUGGUAGUCCGCGCCGUAAACGAUGGAUGCUGGGUGUCCGGGGCGUUCAGGCCCUGGGUGCCGGAGCGAAAGCGGUAAGCAUCCCACCUGGGGAGUACGCCGGCAACGGUGAAACUCAAAGGAAUUGACGGGGGCCCGCACAAGCGGAGGAACAUGUGGUUUAAUUCGAUGAUACGCGAGGAACCUUACCCGGGCUUAAAUUGCACCUGAAUAAUGUGGAAACAUGUUAGCCGUAAGGCAGGUGUGAAGGUGCUGCAUGGUUGUCGUCAGCUCGUGCCGUGAGGUGUCGGCUUAAGUGCCAUAACGAGCGCAACCCCUACCGACAGUUGCUAACAAGCGAAGUUGGGGACUCUGGCGAGACUGCCGGCGCAAGCUGCGAGGAAGGCGGGGAUGACGUCAAAUCAGCACGGCCCUUACGUCCGGGGCGACACACGUGUUACAAUGGCAGGCACAGAGAGAAGCGACAUGGCGACAUGAAGCGGAACUGGUAAAACCUGUCUCAGUUCGGAUUGGAGUCUGCAACCCGACUCCAUGAAGCUGGAUUCGCUAGUAAUCGCGCAUCAGCCAUGGCGCGGUGAAUACGUUCCCGGGCCUUGUACACACCGCCCGUCAAGCCAUGGAAGCCGGGAGUGCCCGAAGUGUGCGACCCCCAAAAGGACCCUAAGGUAAAACCGGUGACUGGGGCUAAGUCGUAACAAGGUAGC